GGAGCCUCCACAUAUCUUGCAGCAUCCAGUGGUAGAAAUAUUUGACAGGGUGAGGACCUCGGUGGGCUUCGUACCUGAAACCCCAAUUGCUCUUGAGCUUUCUGCUUGUUCCUCUUCACUGACAGAUUCUAGAUCAUCUGAACAUCAGAGAUUAAGCCAUAUGAGGUUGAUGGCACAACCAAGUCCUUGCGUUCAGAGCUGGUCACGAUAGCUCUCUGCAAAACAACAUAGUAUUGAGCAAGUCAGAGAUCAAGUGGACUGCAGAGCAAUAUACUCUACUCUCAGGGGCAGAACCGAAGCUUUCUUGUUGAGAGCACACGCACACACGUCAUCGAUCAAACUUUCUGGUCACAGUGGACAUGUCAUCACUGCCUAGUACUGACAAAUGACAACUCGAGGCCUCACUUCUCAAGCUGUCUCUUUGGUAAAAAGGUUUGCAUGAAUCAACAAAAACUAGCAGAGACAGCAUGCAGAUCCUGCAGCACACUUGUUUUUAUGCAAUUUUGGAGCAAACCUGAUUCCGGUUAUUAUGGCAGUCCAAAAUUCACAUGUUUACAGGUCAAGUUACAAGAAGAGUGCAAGAAUGAAACUGCAAUACCUUAACAGAACUUGUGAGUUUGUUACAUUUCUUCCUACAUCAAUUUAUCUUUGCGAAUUGUCUGAUACCACAGAACAUACAGGGGUAGAGCUGAAAAGAACAUGGACUGCAAGGACACAGAUACUAUAAAUUCCUGACUGUUACAUUAUAUUUUUCACACUUUUGGUGCAAGUUUUGAACUCACUGAACUAACAAUAUUUAGAUCAUAUAAAUGUUGUGCCUUCAGAACUUAGCAAGUUACAAAAACUUGCUCUAUGUAAAAACUCCAUAACAAAUCCUCACACCGUAUUUCAUUUCCAAAUACCCUAGAGCAUUAAUAUAUUUUGACAGAAAGGGAAACAAGGUUGCUUCCAAAAUAUAAGUCACUAGUAGUGCUUCUUUCAAAGUUUGCGUGCCUGAGUGAAAUUCAAGUAAUAUCUCAAUUUGAAUGACACAUGACUGUUGGUAACACUUUAGCACCUUCAGAGUUACAACACAUAUUCAGUUGAUCAUCAAAGCAGAAAUGUCAAAAAUGCUCAUGGUCUUAAUUCUCUGCUCAUUUUUGUAAAAAAGGUUAAAGGGAAAUGUAAUAGCGCAAUUUAUGAUUGUGUUGAGAACACACUAUAUGUGAUAAAACAGAAAUUAGGGAUUGGAAUAGGAAAAUUUGGGGGAGAAGCUAGAGGAACAGCAAGUUGGGAGAAGAAGAGCAGGGCGGAAUCAGAUCUCAUCCAUCUUCAGUCAUUCAAUCCCACCAGUACAGGCCCCGAGUUGUAUAGCCUACUAUAGAGUAUUACAAAUUGGACUUCUCAACUUUUUGGCCCGACUUGCCAGUCUUCUCAUUCAAAGCAUUAUAGAGAAUUCCGAGGUUGAUAAGUUUUUUAUGACCUUAGAUAAUAGCCAUCGUUGAUUUCAUUUUGCACAUUUCAGAUGUUUCUUCACUCGCGACAAAAAGUGGCAGCUCAACUGGUGACUUUUUUUACAAAAUAAAUCAGUUGAGGCAUACAGUUUAUGUAGCCCAAAGAGAAGUUGCAAAGCAGUGUUUGAAGACACUGGGUGGCGCGGAUGGGCCCAUGGAGUCACAGCCUGGCACGCGGCUAGCACCAACAAAAACGCCACAGAUUUCAACUUCUGAAGCUGACCUGUUGAAGCAGGCUGCUGUAGUAGGUUAUGUGUUCAAA
Molecule: long non-coding RNA, 1755 nt
Organism: Brachypodium distachyon (stiff brome)
Lineage: Eukaryota; Viridiplantae; Streptophyta; Magnoliopsida; Poales; Poaceae
Exons: 5
Source: RefSeq, a predicted model, not a curated record